GUGCUCGCUUCGGCAGCACAAUAUGAAAACUGGAAGGAUACGGACAGGAUAAUCAUGGCCCUUGUGCACGGAUGACAUGCAAAAUUUGGGAAGGGUCCAUAAUAUUG
Molecule: small nuclear RNA, 107 nt
Filed under: Tupaia belangeri (northern tree shrew)
Lineage: Eukaryota; Metazoa; Chordata; Mammalia; Scandentia; Tupaiidae
Source: RNAcentral